GACGAACGCUGGCGGCGUGCCUAAUACAUGCAAGUUGAGCGAUGAAGAUUGGUGCUUGCACCAAUUUGAAGAGCAGCGAACGGGUGAGUAACGCGUGGGGAAUCUGCCUUUGAGCGGGGGACAACAUUUGGAAACGAAUGCUAAUACCGCAUAACAACUUUAAACAUAAGUUUUAAGUUUGAAAGAUGCAAUUGCAUCACUCAAAGAUGAUCCCGCGUUGUAUUAGCUAGUUGGUGAGGUAAAGGCUCACCAAGGCGAUGAUACAUAGCCGACCUGAGAGGGUGAUCGGCCACAUUGGGACUGAGACACGGCCCAAACUCCUACGGGAGGCAGCAGUAGGGAAUCUUCGGCAAUGGACGAAAGUCUGACCGAGCAACGCCGCGUGAGGGAAGAAGGGUUUCGGAUCGUAAAACUCUGUUGGUAGAGAAGAACGUUGGUGAGAGUGGAAAGCUCAUCAAGUGACGGUAACUACACAGAAAGGGACGGCUAACUACGUG
This 497-nucleotide ribosomal RNA is filed under the name uncultured bacterium. RNAcentral describes it as "partial 16S ribosomal RNA". It matches the Rfam family "Bacterial small subunit ribosomal RNA", at positions 28 to 507 of the family's 1533-position model. The record is from RNAcentral.